This 73-nucleotide transfer RNA is filed under the name Escherichia coli. RNAcentral's name for it is "tRNA-Thr". The record is from RNAcentral. Lineage: Bacteria; Pseudomonadati; Pseudomonadota; Gammaproteobacteria; Enterobacterales; Enterobacteriaceae.
GCUGAUAUGGCUCAGUUGGUAUAGCGCUCACUCGGUAAGCGUGAGGACCUACGUUCGAUUCUUGCUCUCAGCU